This 1919-nucleotide long non-coding RNA is filed under the name Homo sapiens (human). RNAcentral's name for it is "HSALNT0304381". The record is from RNAcentral. Lineage: Eukaryota; Metazoa; Chordata; Mammalia; Primates; Hominidae.
CCCCUCUGGGUGGCUGGCCCCUCUGGCUAGCUCUGACCUGGAGGAGUUCAGCCUUUGGUUUCAGUAAAAUCUGCUACCCUGUGGAAUCCUCCCACUGGCCUGUUAUCUCCCCCUUAAUUUCUGGGGCAAAUUGCAUUAAAUGCUUUCCUUCCUCCCACAGUGGGCCAGGCAGGAGAGAGGCUGUUAGCUGCAGGCUAGGGAGUGUAGCCCCGGAUUCUCACCUGGCAACCCCAGUAAUGAGCACUGCAGAGACAGCCACAGACACCCUUAUUGACCAGGAAGAAGUCAGGAGCCCAAAGGCAGAGAACCAAGGGCUGCGGGCCUGGAGGGAACCCAGGGAAGCCUAGACAGCCAGAGGCAGGCAGGCAAUUAAAGGAGGGGGUGGAGUUUUCAAUUAACAGCUCUUCUGCUAGAAGCAGGUAAUUAAUGGAUUAGCAAGGCUGUUAGCAAGGCUGCUUGCUGCCAGUGAGGAACCUGGCAGGUGCUGCCUUGGAGAAGGAGGACCAGGCUCCAGAUUCCACAGGAAGGAAAGGACUCUUCAGAGGCAGGAUCCUGAGGGCAGCUGAGAGUCAUGGGACUCAGCAGGGACACAGUGAGCAGGCUGGAAGGGCGGGAGGCAGGCCAGAGGGGAUGGGGCAGUAUAAUCCCACUGUCCCCUGGCCUCGCAGGGUCCCUGGUUUGCAGAGCCCUCUUUGCCUGGGAUGGGCUAAGGAGGCAGUGUAUGAGAAUAUCUGGGGGUCAUGGUGUUGACACCCCUGGAAUUGGCACAUUACCACACAGCUCACACGUUUUCACAGUGGUUUAGGGGGGAAGCUGCAUAAGGCGGGGCUGACAGCAAGGACUUUGACAUUAGACACGCUUCAGUUAAGCCUCGCUCCCACUUCCCAAUCUAGGGGACUAGGGGAUCCUCAGACAGCCCAGAUGUUCCUCAGACUACUCAGCACCUUUCUAGUUAGGCAGGAUCAUGCCAAAUUCUAAAGAAGCCAGUACGCACCUCCAUCUGUGUCUUCCCCUGCCAGGGAGUUGGCAGAGGCCACUGUUCCAGACAGCAGAGCCUCAAUCAGCCUGAAUCCCUGAGCGACCUGCAUGGAGCAGAUUCCCUCGCCAGCCCCCAUGAGUGGGAGUGAGAGUCCAGAGAUCUGCUGGGGGAUGGUGUGAGCCCAAAGAAGCCGAUUUCCUUCUUGAAGGGGCUGAGAAGAAGGGAGACUGUGACUUGACCAAGCCAAUCGGCAAACUACCUUCCUUCCCAACAGGAGUUGAUUUGUUCAGGAGGGGGCAUGUGACAAAAGCUGGGCCACUCAGAGCCCAUCUAAGGACUUCACUGAAAUGCUGACAUAAAGCAGCCACUUGUGCCACAGGGGGAAAGCCAGCCUCAAAUGAAACUGUCUCGCAAAGAAAUAGAGAUGAAUGACUUGUAGAGAACUGGAAACAGAAACAAAAUGAAACUUGCAGAGAAAAUAUUGCAAGUAAAUGUUGAACCUCUGGAUCGAACCAUGGCUGAGUCCCUCCUGGCUCUGACUUUUCAGUUAGAUCUCCAAGAGGACCCUCCUGCCUCUGCUUCUCUUCCUCCCCUGAAGUCAAUUUUGCAGUGUGCUGGUCAGCCUCAUCCAGCCCCUCUUUUCUGGGAACUGCUCUAACUCUAUGGCUGGAUUGACUGGCCAAGAGACAGACAUCAGGGUGAGCUGGAUCAUCAGACAGUCUCUCCUAGGAAUGUGAAAUACGAAUUCAGAGAGACUGGCAGCCCAUUGUUCAUGGGAAUGCAGAAGCUGUGAGGCUGAGAAACCCCUUUCCAUCCAGAGGGAAAGAAGGGUCCAGUUUCCUCUGAAGUUUGCAAGGACACAUGGAAGGUCAGCAGAAACUUGGCCAUCUCAGUGUCCUGGUGGGUGAUUUUUACGAGGAUUUCUCAUCACAGAGGAUGG